CGGUGGUGCAGUUGGUAGCACUGUUGCUUUGCAGCAAGAAGGUCCUGGAUUCGACUCCCGGCUGCAGGU
Molecule: non-coding RNA, 69 nt
Organism: Ataeniobius toweri
Lineage: Eukaryota; Metazoa; Chordata; Actinopteri; Cyprinodontiformes; Goodeidae
Source: the annotation of a GenBank genome assembly